This 1676-nucleotide long non-coding RNA is filed under the name Vulpes vulpes (red fox). RNAcentral describes it as "lncRNA (ENSVVUG00000015323.1)". Lineage: Eukaryota; Metazoa; Chordata; Mammalia; Carnivora; Canidae. The record is from RNAcentral.
UGGCUUCUUGCCUGACCUUUUACCUAUAUCCUCGGUUUGGUUAACCGUGGCUAACCCAAGGUGUAAACAAAACUAUAUGGCAUCAGUGAAAGAAUCAGUAGUACCCUGUAGGCUGUAUUUCUUUUCCUGACGGGGUGAGCUGAGCAGUGUUGGGUAUGGGGACAUGUCUCAUUUUUUACUCAUCUAUAACUUAUUUUGUAUUUUUGUCGAGGAUAAGUAUGCAUUUAGUUUGUUUUACAACUCACAAGUAUUAGUGCAAUCAUGUGAAGGAAAAAGAAAGGGAGGUGAGGGGUGUGAGUUGUGGGGUGGGGUGAGGGGUCUGGGGCCAAGGCUGGAGUCUGGAGGACCCCAGCACCCCAGCAGCUGAGGCUCAAGGGGAGGGGGACAUUCCGUGGGCGCUGGCCUCACCCAGUUAAGCAAGCCACUUAAUCUCCCCAUUUGGCAACUUUGUCCUCUGAACAGCAGGUGGGCUGUCGAGGACUCUCCCUCCUGCUCCUGGUGCCCUGGGCAGACCACCUGGGGCUGGUCAGAAAGGCAGCACCUCAGUCCCCACCAGAGGCCUGACGACCAGAGUCUGCAUUUUAACAAGAUCCAAGUGGUUGGUGCGGACAUUCAAGUUUGAGAAGCACCAGGCUGAAUGACAUGGAGGAUUUAGAACACCUAGUGGAGCGGGAGCAUGGACAAAGGUCAGCUCCCCCCUCUUCCCUUCCCUGAGCCUCCUCCCACACUCUCUUUGGGAAACUUUUUGCUCUGGAGAGAGGGAUUGGGUUAGGUUAGCAGGGGCUCACAUUCUGAUGGCGUUGCCUGUAUUCUGUUUCCUUAUGACCAUGACGUGGAAUAGACCACAAAGAUUCUUAUCCUGGUUCACAGAUGGAAGAAUGUGGCCCGAGGGAGUCCAGCAAUUGGUCCUAAGGUCAGAGUGAGCCCAAAGGGACACAGGACACAUGUGCAGAUGCCUGAGGCUUCGACCACCAAGCUAAGGGUUACCUUGGAACCCACCUCAUUCAAGAGGAUGGUCCAACUUGUUGUCAGAACCUGCAGGAAUCCCAGGCUGAGGUCCAAAAAUAUUCACGGAGGGUGCAGCCUGGCUGGAGUGAGUCAGCCUCUCCUUCUGAACAUCAGUUGCUGCUUCAGCUGCCCUUUGCAGCUUGGGCCUGGUGGUUGCCAGGACAAGGCGGCCCCUGGAAAUCACUGGGAUGAUCAGCAUGGUCUGGGGGUGGGGUUAAGGCCGGCCCAGUGCACCUGGCUAGGAAGGGCCUCUCUAUCCCCCUUCCCCUCCUCCUUGGGAAGCGAGGCUCUGGCCCCAGGCACAGUGGUACCCCAUGUAAGGAAGGGCGGGCCUGACUUACUGUAACUGCCUGGCCAAAAGCCUGAUUGUCGUGUGGUUGGGCAGGCCAGCCGGAGAGGGGCCCUGGUGUAGGGAGAGCUCCCAGUGUGAGAAGUGGAGGCAGAGUGUCGCUGUUUUCCCAGGGAGAAUCAGUAGGCCAGGUGGGGCUACCUAGAGAGUCACCCUUUCUCCCCUCGGUGGGGCAGGCCACUACUUCAAUGCCAGAUUAUUGUAAGAAAUCAAGCCUGGGGCCACCUGGGUGGCUCAGUCCAUUAAGUGUUGGUCUUGGGCUCAGGUCAGGAUCCUGGGGUCCUGGGAUUGAGCCCCGCAUCGGGCUCCCUGCUCAGCG